AUUUAAUACUCAGUUAAGAGAUUAAAUUAUUAGAAAGUCUCAAUGCUUUAAAUAUUAUCUGUUUGAAAUUAUUAUACAAAUACAUGACAAUGCUAAAUUAAACAACUAUGUCCAAUAGAAUAGAAGUGAACUUUGUCCAAGUGGAUAACGAAUAUUCUUUGAAUUGUAAAGCAAAGCACCUAGAUAAACAGAAUGUAGAAUGUCACUCCCACUAUGUCUCUCUCUCUCUCUUAAUGCCGUUUCAAGUCAGGGCAAUAAAAACGGUCCAUUCAUUUUUCUUCCUAAAUUUUUUAAUGUUACAAUAUUUAAUCAAACAUAUUUAUGGGAGUGUUUGUAAGAAUAGCAAUGACUGAAAAAAUAUUUACUUUCAUAAACAAAGAUAAAGUUUAUUUGUGUCAUUUUUUAAAUAUUGUUGUUCAUAAAUUGUUUAGAAUAAUAUAAAAAACAAUAUCUACCUCAAAAAAAUCAAACCAUAAUUUUUGCCAAAGGAAAAACUUGUAUUGAAUAAGACAGUAUCAUCGUCAUUGUCAC
Molecule: long non-coding RNA, 531 nt
Filed under: Androctonus crassicauda
Lineage: Eukaryota; Metazoa; Arthropoda; Arachnida; Scorpiones; Buthidae
Source: RNAcentral